GAAUGUUUCAUCAUGAGAUGUAAGCAUCAUGUUCAAGACCCUGAGUGCUUCAUAAAAAAAAAAGUUCCUUUUCCACCAAAAUAAUGCCCUGAUUUGAGUGCUUCAUCAAAAGAGAAAGAUUUCUCAUGAUAAACCAUAUUCUAAGCACUUAGAUCACAAUAUAGUAAAUUUUCAAAAGGAAGUCACUUUUGCCAAGAUAUAAAGGCUCAUGUAUGUAAAUUCUAUGCUUCCAAUAUAAGCACAUUUCAAAAAUAUUAUUAAACACUUAUUUACUGAGUGCUGCUUAUAUGCCUCCUAUUCUCACUCUUUUUUGUGGUUGAAUUUAAUCAACACACAACUCUAAGGAAUAGGCAUGACUCAUUAUUUUCAUUUUACACUUGAGGAAACUGAGGCACUCAGUGUUUUACAUAUAUAAAAACGAGUAUGAGGUUCAGCCAAAAUUCAAAUACCGAACGUCUGGCUCCAAAGCCCACAUGGUAUUCACCAUAAAUAGAAAUUUCAUACUAGAAAUCAUAUUGUUUUCUUUCCCUCAGGAGCAAUUUAGGAAAUAAAUUAAAAACUUUAAAGUGGUGAUUUAAAGCAACUCACCUUUUUGCCAGUUAUGUGUUACCUUAAGAGAAAAUUGCAAGAAAUGAGAAAGAUAAAGCUUGAUGAGGAUGACACUAUCAUGAAUCACACGAAAAGAAAAGAGGAUUAUUUAGCAUAUUGAAUAUGAAGUUGUAGAUUCAGGGCAACAUCAAGACGGAUGAACUCCCCCACCAAGCUGUUUAACAAACUGGCUCUCUGUCGAGCUGGCCAUGCCGAGUUAGUAGCAGAUCUGCAAUGAUGCCUCUACCAAGCUCACAAUUAUACAAAUGGUGCAGCAGCAGGAAAGCACAUAGAAGAAGGCUACACAGAAGAUACAAGCUCCAGUCAGGUCAUGACACAAAGCCACAGAACUUAACUGGGAAAUGAGCAAUGCUUAUGUGUCCAGCAUUGUCUCAAUUGGUUUCCCAUGCAGAGAGCUCAAAGAGCAUCCUAUCUGAUAUGCACCAGGCAACAACUGAGAACAAGGACCAGCCAAAGUCAUCAGAAGGGUAGCACAGUUGCUGCUAGCAGCUGCUGUGCCCUGAGGGGUGAGGGAAAUGUGGUCGCCUAA
Molecule: long non-coding RNA, 1138 nt
Filed under: Pan paniscus (pygmy chimpanzee)
Lineage: Eukaryota; Metazoa; Chordata; Mammalia; Primates; Hominidae
Description: lncRNA (ENSPPAG00000044444.1)
Source: RNAcentral